Molecule: ribosomal RNA, 170 nt
Filed under: Paphiopedilum gratrixianum
Lineage: Eukaryota; Viridiplantae; Streptophyta; Magnoliopsida; Asparagales; Orchidaceae
Description: 5.8S ribosomal RNA
Source: RNAcentral
GAUGUGAGUUUGGCCCCUUGUUCAUUGGUACGGGGGGUCUAAGAGCUGCGUGGGCUUUUGUUGGUACCUAAAUACGGCAAGAGGUGGACGAACUAUGCUACAACAAAAAUGUUGUGCGAAUGCCCCGGGUUGUCGUAUAGAUGGGCCAGCAUAAUCUAAAGACCCUUUUG